CCUACGGGCGGCAGCAGUGGGGAAUAUUGCACAAUGGGGGAAACCCUGACGCAGCGAUGCCGCGUGAAUGAAGAAGUAUUUCGGUAUGUAAACCUCUUUCAGCCGGGACGAAAAUGACGGUACCUGCCUAAGAAGCACCGGCUAACUACGUGCCAGCAGCCGCGGUAAUACGGAGGGGGCGAGCGUUAUCCGGAUUUACUGGGCGUAAAGGGAGCGUAGACGGCAGGGCAAGUCUGGAGUGAAAGGCGGGGGCUCAACCCCCGGAAUGCUCUGGAAACUGCCAGGCUGGAGUGCAGGAGAGGUAAGUGGAAUUCCUAGGGUAGCGGUGAAAUGCGUAGAUAUUAGGAGGAACACCAGUGGCGAAGGCGGCUUACUGGACUGUAACUGACGUUGAGGCUCGAAAGCGUGGGGAGCAAACAGGAUUAGAUACCCUUGUAGUA
Molecule: ribosomal RNA, 440 nt
Filed under: uncultured bacterium
Lineage: Bacteria
Description: partial 16S ribosomal RNA
Rfam family: Bacterial small subunit ribosomal RNA
Source: RNAcentral